RNAcentral lists this ribosomal RNA (465 nucleotides) under Vreelandella stevensii. Its description in RNAcentral is "partial 16S ribosomal RNA". It matches the Rfam family "Bacterial small subunit ribosomal RNA", at positions 338 to 795 of the family's 1533-position model. The record is from RNAcentral. Lineage: Bacteria; Pseudomonadati; Pseudomonadota; Gammaproteobacteria; Oceanospirillales; Halomonadaceae.
CCUACGGGCGGCAGCAGUGGGGAAUAUUGGACAAUGGGGGGAACCCUGAUCCAGCCAUGCCGCGUGUGUGAAGAAGGCCCUCGGGUUGUAAAGCACUUUCAGUGAGGAAGAACGCCUGGUGGUUAAUACCCAUCAGGAAAGACAUCACUCACAGAAGAAGCACCGGCUAACUCCGUGCCAGCAGCCGCGGUAAUACGGAGGGUGCGAGCGUUAAUCGGAAUUACUGGGCGUAAAGCGCGCGUAGGUGGCUUGAUAAGCCGGUUGUGAAAGCCCCGGGCUCAACCUGGGAACGGCAUCCGGAACUGUCAAGCUAGAGUGCAGGAGAGGAAGGUAGAAUUCCCGGUGUAGCGGUGAAAUGCGUAGAGAUCGGGAGGAAUACCAGUGGCGAAGGCGGCCUUCUGGACUGACACUGGCACUGAGGUGCGAAAGCGUGGGUAGCAAACAGGAUUAGAUACCCCAGUAGUC